GGCGAACGCUGGCGGCGUGCCUAAUACAUGCAAGUCGAGCGGACCGGAUUGGGGCUUGCCUUGAUUCGGUCAGCGGCGGACGGGUGAGUAACACGUGGGCAACCUGCCCGCAAGACCGGGAUAACUCCGGGAAACCGGAGCUAAUACCGGAUAACACCGAAGACCGCAUGGUCUUCGGUUGAAAGGCGGCCUUUGGGCUGUCACUUGCGGAUGGGCCCGCGGCGCAUUAGCUAGUUGGUGAGGUAACGGCUCACCAAGGCGACGAUGCGUAGCCGGCCUGAGAGGGUGACCGGCCACACUGGGACUGAGACACGGCCCAGACUCCUACGGGAGGCAGCAGUAGGGAAUCUUCCGCAAUGGGCGAAAGCCUGACGGAGCGACGCCGCGUGAGCGAAGAAGGCCUUCGGGUCGUAAAGCUCUGUUGUGAGGGACGAAGGAGCGUCGUUCGAAGAGGGCGGGGCGGUGACGGUACCUCACGAGAAAGCCCCGGCUAACUACGUG
RNAcentral lists this ribosomal RNA (501 nucleotides) under uncultured bacterium. RNAcentral describes it as "partial 16S ribosomal RNA". It matches the Rfam family "Bacterial small subunit ribosomal RNA", at positions 28 to 507 of the family's 1533-position model. The record is from RNAcentral.